GAGGAAUAUUGGUCAAUGGACGAGAGUCUGAACCAGCCAAGUAGCGUGAAGGAUGACUGCCCUAUGGGUUGUAAACUUCUUUUAUACGGGAAUAAAGUGAGGCACGUGUGCCUUUUUGUAUGUACCGUAUGAAUAAGGAUCGGCUAACUCCGUGCCAGCAGCCGCGGUAAUACGGAGGAUCCGAGCGUUAUCCGGAUUUAUUGGGUUUAAAGGGAGCGUAGGCGGACGCUUAAGUCAGUUGUGAAAGUUUGCGGCUCAACCGUAAAAUUGCAGUUGAUACUGGGUGUCUUGAGUACAGUAGAGGCAGGCGGAAUUCGUGGUGUAGCGGUGAAAUGCUUAGAUAUCACGAAGAACUCCGAUUGCGAAGGCAGCUUGCUGGACUGUAACUGACGCUGAUGCUCGAAGGUGUGGGUAUCAAACAGGAUUAGAUACCCUGGUAGUCCACACAGUAAACGAUGAAUACUCGCUGUUUGCGAUAUACAGUAAGCGGCCAAGCGAAAGCGUUAAGUAUUCCACCUGGGGAGUACGCCGGCAACGGUGAAACUCAAAGGAAUUGACGGGGGCCCGCACAAGCGGAGGAACAUGUGGUUUAAUUCGAUGAUACGCGAGGAACCUUACCCGGGCUUGAAUUGCAACUGAAUGAUGUGGAGACAUGUCAGCCGCAAGGCAGUUGUGAAGGUGCUGCAUGGUUGUCGUCAGCUCGUGCCGUGAGGUGUCGGCUUAAGUGCCAUAACGAGCGCAACCCUUAUCGAUAGUUACCAUCAGGUUAUGCUGGGGACUCUGUCGAGACUGCCGUCGUAAGAUGUGAGGAAGGUGGGGAUGACGUCAAAUCAGCACGGCCCUUACGUCCGGGGCUACACACGUGUUACAAUGGGGGGUACAGAAGGCAGCUACACGGCGACGUGAUGCUAAUCCCGAAAGCCUCUCUCAGUUCGGAUUGGAGUCUGCAACCCGACUCCAUGAAGCUGGAUUCGCUAGUAAUCGCGCAUCAGCCACGGCGCGGUGAAUACGUUCCCG
RNAcentral lists this ribosomal RNA (1017 nucleotides) under uncultured organism. Its description in RNAcentral is "bacterial SSU rRNA". It matches the Rfam family "Bacterial small subunit ribosomal RNA", at positions 356 to 1376 of the family's 1533-position model. The record is from RNAcentral.